CAGCCGCCGCGGUAAUACGUAGGUCCCGAGCGUUGUCCGGAUUUAUUGGGCGUAAAGCGAGCGCAGGCGGUUAGAUAAGUCUGAAGUUAAAGGCUGUGGCUUAACCAUAGUACGCUUUGGAAACUGUUUAACUUGAGUGCAAGAGGGGAGAGUGGAAUUCCAUGUGUAGCGGUGAAAUGCGUAGAUAUAUGGAGGAACACCGGUGGCGAAAGCGGCUCUCUGGCUUGUAACUGACGCUGAGGCUCGAAAGCGUGGGGAGUAAACAGGAUUAGAUACCCCCGUAGUCCCUGUCUCUUAUACA
This 301-nucleotide ribosomal RNA is filed under the name uncultured bacterium. Its description in RNAcentral is "partial 16S ribosomal RNA". It matches the Rfam family "Bacterial small subunit ribosomal RNA", at positions 509 to 808 of the family's 1533-position model. The record is from RNAcentral.